UAGGGAAUCUUCCGCAAUGGACGAAAGUCUGACGGAGCAACGCCGCGUGAGCGAAGAAGGUCUUAGGAUCGUAAAGCUCUGUUGUCAGGGAAGAACAAGUGCCGUUCGAACAGGGCGGUACCUUGACGGUACCUGACGAGGAAGCCACGGCUAACUACGUGCCAGCAGCCGCGGUAAUACGUAGGUGGCAAGCGUUGUCCGGAAUUAUUGGGCGUAAAGCGCGCGCAGGCGGUUCCUUAAGUCUGAUGUGAAAUCUCGCGGCUCAACCGCGAGCGGCCAUUGGAAACUGGGGAACUUGAGUGCAGGAGAGGGGAGCGGAAUUCCACGUGUAGCGGUGAAAUGCGUAGAGAUGUGGAGGAACACCAGUGGCGAAGGCGGCUCUCUGGCCUGUAACUGACGCUGAGGCGCGAAAGCGUGGGGAGCGAACAGG
RNAcentral lists this ribosomal RNA (430 nucleotides) under bacterium. RNAcentral describes it as "partial 16S ribosomal RNA". It matches the Rfam family "Bacterial small subunit ribosomal RNA", at positions 355 to 776 of the family's 1533-position model. RNAcentral also lists the same sequence under 1 other name. The record is from RNAcentral.